This 380-nucleotide unclassified non-coding RNA is filed under the name fungal sp. RNAcentral describes it as "partial internal transcribed spacer region". The stretch from base 1 to 46 matches the Rfam family "Eukaryotic small subunit ribosomal RNA", at positions 1786 to 1831 of the family's 1831-position model. Lineage: Eukaryota; Fungi. The record is from RNAcentral.
AAGUCGUAACAAGGUUUCCGUAGGUGAACCUGCGGAAGGAUCAUUACAAAUCCACGCGUCUCUCUCUCUGAGACACCACGUUGAACUGUUUCUAGCGAUACCUACCUAUCCAUCUAUCUAUCUAUCCAUCUCUAUCACCCAUCAUCUAUCAUCUAUCUCUCACAUCACACACAUAUCCUUGGCAACAUCGAUAUUGUUGUUGUUUGUGUUUGAUGAUGCAUGGAUGGAUGGAUGGUGUGCGAUGUGAAAGGUCGGUCGGUCGGUCGGUCGGUCGCUAGUGUUACAACACGAGUUAUCAUUUGUUGAACGAUUGUAUGCAUGCAUGACAAACCCUGUCAUGAAACCAUGUACAACUUAUAACAAUGGAUCUCUAGGCUCUU